This 403-nucleotide ribosomal RNA is filed under the name uncultured bacterium. Its description in RNAcentral is "partial 16S ribosomal RNA". It matches the Rfam family "Bacterial small subunit ribosomal RNA", at positions 30 to 526 of the family's 1533-position model. The record is from RNAcentral.
AUUGAACGCUGGCGGCAGGCCUAACACAUGCAAGUCGAGCGAGCGGCGGACGGGUGAGUAAUGUAUGGGGACUGCCCGAUAGAGGGGGAUAACUAUUGGAAACGAUAGCUAAUACCGCAUACUGUGAGAUGACCUGCGUUGUAUUAGCUAGUAGGUGAGGUAAUGGCUCACCUAGGCGACGAUCCCUAGCUGGUCUGAGAGGAUGAUCAGCCACACUGGGACUGAGACACGGCCCAGACUCCUACGGAGGCAGCAGUGGGGAAUAUUGCACAAUGGGCGCAAGCCUGAUGCAGCCAUGCCGCGUGUAUGAAGAAGGCCCUAGGGUUGUAAAGUACUUUCAGUCGGGAGGCGUUACCGACAGAAGAAGCACCGGCUAACUCCGUGCCAGCAGCCGCGGUAAUUC